This is a long non-coding RNA of Ictalurus punctatus (channel catfish), 543 nucleotides long. Lineage: Eukaryota; Metazoa; Chordata; Actinopteri; Siluriformes; Ictaluridae. The record is from Ensembl.
AGACCGGAACUGUAGAACUUCCACUGGAUUAGGGUUGAGUAUGCAAAUUAGCCGAUGAUGUCAUACUGUAUUCUACACUCAUGGGAGCGUACAAAGACGUAACUGUUUAAGGUGAACGCAAACAUGAAAAUAUUCUCGCUAUUCAACUUGGAAAAGUUGUGAGAACACUGUUGCUAGGCAACUGGAAAAGAUAGACACAGCGCACACGUUAUCUCACGACCGAAACUAAGAAUUUAACUAGAAAAGAAUCAUCACACAGACAUUUCCCUCAGGUGUGUGGGUACAUUUAUUAAUGAAGGGGUGUGUGAGAGUGUGUGUGAGAGUGUGUGUGAGAGUUGGUGUGUGACUGUGUGUGUGACUGUGUGUGUGAGAGUGUGUGUGAGAGUGUGUGUGAGAGUGUGUGUGUGACUGUGUGUGUGAGAGUGUGUGUGAGACUGUGUGUGUGAGAGUGUGUGUGAGAGUGUGUGUGAGAGUGUGUGUGAGUGUGUGUGUGAGAGUGUGUGUGUGACUGUGUGUGUGACUGUGUGUGAGAGUGUGUGUGAG